Molecule: ribosomal RNA, 1085 nt
Filed under: uncultured bacterium
Lineage: Bacteria
Description: bacterial SSU rRNA
Rfam family: Bacterial small subunit ribosomal RNA
Source: RNAcentral
GAGUAACUGUUGACAUCGUGACGGUAUCCAACCAGAAAGCCACGGCUAACUACGUGCCAGCAGCCGCGGUAAUACGUAGGUGGCAAGCGUUGUCCGGAUUUAUUGGGCGUAAAGCGAGCGCAGGCGGUUUUUUAGGUCUGAUGUGAAAGCCUUCGGCUUAACCGGAGAAGUGCAUCGGAAACCGGGAGACUUGAGUGCGGAAGAGGACAGUGGAACUCCAUGUGUAGCGGUGAAAUGCGUAGAUAUAUGGAAGAACACCAGUGGCGAAGGCGGCUGCCUGGUCUGCAACUGACGCUGAGGCUCGAAAGCAUGGGUAGCGAACAGGAUUAGAUACCCUGGUAGUCCAUGCCGUAAACGAUGAGUGCUAAGUGUUGGAGGGUUUCCGCCCUUCAGUGCUGCAGCUAACGCAUUAAGCACUCCGCCUGGGGAGUACGACCGCAAGGUUGAAACUCAAAGGAAUUGACGGGGGCCCGCACAAGCGGUGGAGCAUGUGGUUUAAUUCGAUGCUACGCGAAGAACCUUACCAGGUCUUGACAUCUUCUGCUAACCUAAGAGAUUAGGCGUUCCCUUCGGGGACGGAAUGACAGGUGGUGCAUGGUUGUCGUCAGCUCGUGUCGUGAGAUGUUGGGUUAAGUCCCGCAACGAGCGCAACCCUUAUUGUCAGUUGCCAGCAUUUAGUUGGGCACUCUGGCGAGACUGCCGGUGACAAACCGGAGGAAGGUGGGGAUGACGUCAAAUCAUCAUGCCCCUUAUGACCUGGGCUACACACGUGCUACAAUGGACGGUACAACGAGUCGCGAAACCGCGAGGUCAAGCUAAUCUCUGAAAGCCGUUCUCAGUUCGGAUUGCAGGCUGCAACUCGCCUGCAUGAAGUUGGGAUCGCUAGUAAUCGUGGAUCAGCAUGCCACGGUGAAUGCGUUCCCGGGCCUUGUACACACCGCCCGUCACACCAUGAGAGUUUGUAACACCCAAAGCCGGUGAGGUAACCUUCGGGAACCAGCCGUCUAAGGUGGGACAGAUGAUCAGGGUGAAGUCGUAACAAGGUAGCCGUAGGAGAACCUGCGGCUGGAUCACCUCCUUUCUAA